AGCGGCAGACGGGAGAGUAACACGUGGGAACGUACCCUUCAGUUCGGAACAACCCAGGGAAACUUGGACUAAUACCGGAUACGUCCGUAAGGAGAAAGAUUUAUCGCUGAAGGAUCGGCCCGCGUCUGAUUAGCUUGUUGGUGAGGUAACGGCUCACCAAGGCGACGAUCAGUAGCUGGUCUGAGAGGAUGAUCAGCCUCACUGGGACUGAGACACGACCCAG
RNAcentral lists this ribosomal RNA (223 nucleotides) under uncultured bacterium. RNAcentral's name for it is "partial 16S ribosomal RNA". It matches the Rfam family "Bacterial small subunit ribosomal RNA", at positions 94 to 334 of the family's 1533-position model. The record is from RNAcentral.